This 549-nucleotide ribosomal RNA is filed under the name uncultured bacterium. Its description in RNAcentral is "bacterial SSU rRNA". It matches the Rfam family "Bacterial small subunit ribosomal RNA", at positions 355 to 896 of the family's 1533-position model. The record is from RNAcentral.
UGGGGAAUAUUGGACAAUGGGCGAAAGCCUGAUCCAGCCAUGCCGCGUGUGUGAAGAAGGCCUUUUGGUUGUAAAGCACUUUAAGUGGGGAGGAAAAGCUUAUGGUUAAUACCCAUAAGCCCUGACGUUACUCACAGAAUAAGCACCGGCUAACUCUGUGCCAGCAGCCGCGGUAAUACAGAGGGUGCAAGCGUUAAUCGGAAUUACUGGGCGUAAAGCGCGCGUAGGUGGUUAUUUAAGUCAGAUGUGAAAGCCCCGGGCUUAACCUGGGAACUGCAUCUGAUACUGGAUAACUAGAGUAGGUGAGAGGGGAGUAGAAUUCCAGGUGUAGCGGUGAAAUGCGUAGAGAUCUGGAGGAAUACCGAUGGCGAAGGCAGCUCCCUGGCAUCAUACUGACACUGAGGUGCGAAAGCGUGGGUAGCAAACAGGAUUAGAUACCCUGGUAGUCCACGCCGUAAACGAUGUCUACCAGUCGUUGGGUCUUUUAAAGACUUAGUGACGCAGUUAACGCAAUAAGUAGACCGCCUGGGGAGUACGGCCGCAAGGUUA